Molecule: ribosomal RNA, 465 nt
Filed under: Vreelandella stevensii
Lineage: Bacteria; Pseudomonadati; Pseudomonadota; Gammaproteobacteria; Oceanospirillales; Halomonadaceae
Description: partial 16S ribosomal RNA
Rfam family: Bacterial small subunit ribosomal RNA
Source: RNAcentral
CCUACGGGUGGCUGCAGUGGGGAAUAUUGGACAAUGGGGGCAACCCUGAUCCAGCCAUGCCGCGUGUGUGAAGAAGGCCCUCGGGUUGUAAGGCACUUUCAGUGAGGAAGAACGCCUGGUGGUUAAUACCCAUCAGGAAAGACAUCACUCACAGAAGAAGCACCGGCUAACUCUGUGCCAGCAGCCACGGUAAUACGGAGGGUGCGAGCGUUAAUCGGAAUUACUGGGCGUAAAGCGCGCGUAGGUGGCUUGAUAAGCCGGUUGUGAAAGCCCCGGGCUCAACCUGGGAACGGCAUCCGGAACUGUCAAGCUAGAGUGCAGGAGAGGAAGGUAGAAUUCCCGGUGUAGCGGUGAAAUGCGUAGAGAUCGGGAGGAAUACCAGUGGCGAAGGCGGCCUUCUGGACUGACACUGACACUGAGGUGCGAAAGCGUGGGUAGCAAACAGGAUUAGAUACCCCAGUAGUC